Molecule: ribosomal RNA, 596 nt
Filed under: Holtermanniella festucosa
Lineage: Eukaryota; Fungi; Basidiomycota; Tremellomycetes; Holtermanniales
Description: eukaryotic LSU rRNA
Rfam family: Eukaryotic large subunit ribosomal RNA
Source: RNAcentral
AAACUAACAAGGAUCCCCCUUAGUAACGGCGAGUGAAGCGGGAUGAGCUCAAAUUUGUAAUCUGGUGGACUCAGUUCAUCCGAGUUGUAAUCUAUAGAAAAGUUUUCCGCGCCGGACCGUGUCUAAGUCCCUUGGAACAGGGUGUCAGAGAGGGUGAGAAUCCCGUGCUUGAUACGACCACCGGUGCUAUGUGAUACUUUUUCAACGAGUCGAGUUGUUUGGGAAUGCAGCUCAAAAUGGGUGGUAAAUUCCAUCUAAAGCUAAAUAUUGGCGAGAGACCGAUAGCGAACAAGUACGUGAGGGAAGAUGAAAAGCACUUUGAAAGAGAGUUAAACAGUACGUGAAAUUGUUAAAAGGGAAACGAUUGAAGUCAGUCGUGCUCUCUGGGACUCAGCCGGUUCUUCCGGUGUAUUUCCCAGUGAGCGGGUCAACAUCAGUUUAGAUCGCUGGAUAAGGUCAUUAGGAAUGUGGCUCCCUCGGGAGUGUUAUAGCCUAGUGUCGCAUACAGUGGUUUAGACUGAGGAACGCAGCUCGCCUUUAUGGCCGGGGUUCGCCCACGUCCGAGCUUAGGAUGUUGACAUAAUGCUUUAAACGAC